AUUGAACGCUGGCGGCAUGCCUUACACAUGCAAGUCGAACGGCAGCACGGGAGCAAUCCUGGUGGCGAGUGGCGAACGGGUGAGUAAUACAUCGGAACGUGCCCAAUCGUGGGGGAUAACGCAGCGAAAGCUGUGCUAAUACCGCAUACGAUCUACGGAUGAAAGCAGGGGAUCGCAAGACCUUGCGCGAAUGGAGCGGCCGAUGGCAGAUUAGGUAGUUGGUGAGGUAAAGGCUCACCAAGCCGUCGAUCUGUAGCUGGUCUGAGAGGACGACCAGCCACACUGGGACUGAGACACGGCCCAGACUCCUACGGGAGGCAGCAGUGGGGAAUUUUGGACAAUGGGCGAAAGCCUGAUCCAGCCAUGCCGCGUGCAGGAUGAAGGCCUUCGGGUUGUAAACUGCUUUUAUACGGAACGAAACGGCCUUUUCUAAUAAAGAGGGCUAAUGACGGUACCGUAAGAAUAAGCACCGGCUAACUACGUGCCAGCAGCCGCGGUAAUACGUAGGGUGCAAGCGUUAAUCGGAAUUACUGGGCGUAAAGCGUGCGCAGGCGGUUAUGUAAGACAGUUGUGAAAUCCCCGGGCUCAACCUGGGGAACUGCAUUUGUGACUGCAUAGCUAGAGUACGGUAG
This 632-nucleotide ribosomal RNA is filed under the name uncultured Comamonadaceae bacterium. RNAcentral's name for it is "bacterial SSU rRNA". It matches the Rfam family "Bacterial small subunit ribosomal RNA", at positions 28 to 654 of the family's 1533-position model. Lineage: Bacteria; Pseudomonadati; Pseudomonadota; Betaproteobacteria; Burkholderiales; Comamonadaceae. The record is from RNAcentral.